UCUCGUUACGAUUCGGUGAAUCGACGCCGCGAAGUAAUCGUUCCCCUGUUUCGGUUAAGAUAAGAGGUGGUUAAAUGAAUAUGACACAGUAUAGAUAUUGACCGUUCGAAGGAUGUAAAAUCAGAACUGUCUUGGGAGACGAUGCUGUCUCGGAGGAAAGCUAAGGAUGGGUGUGUCUAGCGCACGGGACCAUCGGAUUUGUUGGUGACGAUUUUAGUUAGGAUUUUAGUUCAAGCUGAGUUGACCGUGAUUCAAUUCACGAAUAUCGGAGAGGAAAAGUCGUAAUUCACAAUAUUACACACAAUAAUACCUUCACAUAAAGGAACACAGCUCAGAUGAGACUUUUUAUAGUUAAACUUUUAACGUACUCAUAGACACGAAAAUUUUUUUUUAAAUAGAACUGUUACAUUUUACGACACGUAUAACAUCGAACAUUUACCAACAUAGCAAUGCCAGCGUACAUAUAUAUAUACUGGUGUACUGGUCAUCUUUUUUCCACACGUUUUUAGCUUUUUAGCUGAUUGUGAAUGGGCGCCUAAUCAGCCAAUCAGAAAUGGCCGGGUCUCUGCAAAUACGAAGUCCGCCCAUGUCGUCUGAAAAAAGGAUCCUCCUCCAUGCGACAGUAGCAGAUAGCUGAAACGUAUAUGAAACCAACCGUUACGUUCAUUUGUGUUUUUCCCCCCAAACGAAGAGAAAAUAAGUUGUGAAAGAAGGAGUAGCCUCUCAUAGUUCCUACAAUUUCUUUAUUCUCUUUGCUUUCUUCAAUAUUGCCUCAACAAGUUCCUGUGGUUCACGAUACUUGAAAUAUAUACAAUGUUACCAGCGUGGAAAUUGUCUUGGAAACUUGGAAAAUCUUUCAAGAGGAACAACAUUGCUAACUGAGAUUCGAGAAAGGAAAGUACCAAGAAUGUCGAGAUAUAAACAACCAUUUGUGGAAAGGUCAGGAGAAGCAGAAUUAUCGAAUAAACGUUAUAUAACUCUUAGUGAUUAAGUAAGAGAAGAGAAACGAGAAAAAAGUCUUUUAUCUAGGUCUUAAUAAAGUAUACUAUAUUUAUCUCCAUAUCAAGAAUAACAACAAGAUAUAAACAGUCUUCUAGAAAUUGAACUCUUUGCAUCUUCUAUACAGGUAUCUCAUGAUCAUGUGAUAACACACAGGAAGAAAAAAUAGAGGAAAAAACAGCGUAAAAAAAAGUUGCGUAGGAGUAUCGUCGCACUACAUCAUUCGACAAUUGAUGCACGUCAUGGCGAUCGUCACGGUUUAAAGCAGGCCAUCAAAAACACGUUUGUUAUCGUACGGAAAAAUCUGCGACGUUCCAGCUGUUCAGGUGCAUCGAAUUGUGAAUCAUCGGCGGUACGAAGCAAGGCGAGGGGCGUAAAUAGAAAAAGAAGAGAAGAGAAGGAUUCGCAUAAAUGAUAAAAUAUAAUCGUUCGUUCCUCGUCGAUGGCGGAUGGAUAGCUUUAAUCGUGGACGAUAUCGAUACGAUUAUAUUUUAUACAUUUGAAACAAAUAUAAAAGACGAGCAAAAACCAGA
Molecule: long non-coding RNA, 1532 nt
Organism: Bombus huntii
Lineage: Eukaryota; Metazoa; Arthropoda; Insecta; Hymenoptera; Apidae
Exons: 6
Source: RefSeq, a predicted model, not a curated record